GGUUAAGCGACUAAGCGUACACGGUGGAUGCCCUGGCAGUCAGAGGCGAUGAAGGACGUGCUAAUCUGCGAUAAGCGUCGGUAAGGUGAUAUGAACCGUUAUAACCGGCGAUUUCCGAAUGGGGAAACCCAGUGUGAUUCGUCACACUAUCAUUAACUGAAUCCAUAGGUUAAUGAGGCGAACCGGGGGAACUGAAACAUCUAAGUACCCCGAGGAAAAGAAAUCAACCGAGAUUCCCCCAGUAGCGGCGAGCGAACGGGGAGCAGCCCAGAGCCUGAAUCAGUGUGUGUGUUAGUGGAAGCGUCUGGAAAGGCGCGCGAUACAGGGUGACAGCCCCGUACACAAAAAUGCACAUACUGUGAGCUCGAUGAGUAGGGCGGGACACGUGGUAUCCUGUCUGAAUAUGGGGGGACCAUCCUCCAAGGCUAAAUACUCCUGACUGACCGAUAGUGAACCAGUACCGUGAGGGAAAGGCGAAAAGAACCCCGGCGAGGGGAGUGAAAAAGAACCUGAAACCGUGUACGUACAAGCAGUGGGAGCACAGAGCAAUCUGUGUGACUGCGUACCUUUUGUAUAAUGGGUCAGCGACUUAUAUUCUGUAGCAAGGUUAACCGAAUAGGGGAGCCGAAGGGAAACCGAGUCUUAACUGGGCGUUAAGUUGCAGGGUAUAGACCCGAAACCCGGUGAUCUAGCCAUGGGCAGGUUGAAGGUUGGGUAACACUAACUGGAGGACCGAACCGACUAAUGUUGAAAAAUUAGCGGAUGACUUGUGGCUGGGGGUGAAAGGCCAAUCAAACCGGGAGAUAGCUGGUUCUCCCCGAAAGCUAUUUAGGUAGCGCCUCGUGAAUUCAUCUCCGGGGGUAGAGCACUGUUUCGGCAAGGGGGUCAUCCCGACUUACCAACCCGAUGCAAACUGCGAAUACCGGAGAAUGUUAUCACGGGAGACACACGGCGGGUGCUAACGUCCGUCGUGAAGAGGGAAACAACCCAGACCGCCAGCUAAGGUCCCAAAGUCAUGGUUAAGUGGGAAACGAUGUGGGAAGGCCCAGACAGCCAGGAUGUUGGCUUAGAAGCAGCCAUCAUUUAAAGAAAGCGUAAUAGCUCACUGGUCGAGUCGGCCUGCGCGGAAGAUGUAACGGGGCUAAACCAUGCACCGAAGCUGCGGCAGCGACGCUUAUGCGUUGUUGGGUAGGGGAGCGUUCUGUAAGCCUGUGAAGGUGUACUGUGAGGUAUGCUGGAGGUAUCAGAAGUGCGAAUGCUGACAUAAGUAACGAUAAAGCGGGUGAAAAGCCCGCUCGCCGGAAGACCAAGGGUUCCUGUCCAACGUUAAUCGGGGCAGGGUGAGUCGACCCCUAAGGCGAGGCCGAAAGGCGUAGUCGAUGGGAAACAGGUUAAUAUUCCUGUACUUGGUGUUACUGCGAAGGGGGGACGGAGAAGGCUAUGUUGGCCGGGCGACGGUUGUCCCGGUUUAAGCGUGUAGGCUGGUUUUCCAGGCAAAUCCGGAAAAUCAAGGCUGAGGCGUGAUGACGAGGCACUACGGUGCUGAAGCAACAAAUGCCCUGCUUCCAGGAAAAGCCUCUAAGCAUCAGGUAACAUCAAAUCGUACCCCAAACCGACACAGGUGGUCAGGUAGAGAAUACCAAGGCGCUUGAGAGAACUCGGGUGAAGGAACUAGGCAAAAUGGUGCCGUAACUUCGGGAGAAGGCACGCUGAUAUGUAGGUGAAGUCCCUCGCGGAUGGAGCUGAAAUCAGUCGAAGAUACCAGCUGGCUGCAACUGUUUAUUAAAAACACAGCACUGUGCAAACACGAAAGUGGACGUAUACGGUGUGACGCCUGCCCGGUGCCGGAAGGUUAAUUGAUGGGGUUAGCGCAAGCGAAGCUCUUGAUCGAAGCCCCGGUAAACGGCGGCCGUAACUAUAACGGUCCUAAGGUAGCGAAAUUCCUUGUCGGGUAAGUUCCGACCUGCACGAAUGGCGUAAUGAUGGCCAGGCUGUCUCCACCCGAGACUCAGUGAAAUUGAACUCGCUGUGAAGAUGCAGUGUACCCGCGGCAAGACGGAAAGACCCCGUGAACCUUUACUAUAGCUUGACACUGAACAUUGAGCCUUGAUGUGUAGGAUAGGUGGGAGGCUUUGAAGUGUGGACGCCAGUCUGCAUGGAGCCGACCUUGAAAUACCACCCUUUAAUGUUUGAUGUUCUAACGUUGACCCGUAAUCCGGGUUGCGGACAGUGUCUGGUGGGUAGUUUGACUGGGGCGGUCUCCUCCUAAAGAGUAACGGAGGAGCACGAAGGUUGGCUAAUCCUGGUCGGACAUCAGGAGGUUAGUGCAAUGGCAUAAGCCAGCUUGACUGCGAGCGUGACGGCGCGAGCAGGUGCGAAAGCAGGUCAUAGUGAUCCGGUGGUUCUGAAUGGAAGGGCCAUCGCUCAACGGAUAAAAGGUACUCCGGGGAUAACAGGCUGAUACCGCCCAAGAGUUCAUAUCGACGGCGGUGUUUGGCACCUCGAUGUCGGCUCAUCACAUCCUGGGGCUGAAGUAGGUCCCAAGGGUAUGGCUGUUCGCCAUUUAAAGUGGUACGCGAGCUGGGUUUAGAACGUCGUGAGACAGUUCGGUCCCUAUCUGCCGUGGGCGCUGGAGAACUGAGGGGGGCUGCUCCUAGUACGAGAGGACCGGAGUGGACGCAUCACUGGUGUUCGGGUUGUCAUGCCAAUGGCACUGCCCGGUAGCUAAAUGCGGAAGAGAUAAGUGCUGAAAGCAUCUAAGCACGAAACUUGCCCCGAGAUGAGUUCUCCCUGACUCCUUGAGAGUCCUGAAGGAACGUUGAAGACGACGACGUUGAUAGGCCGGAUGUGUAAGCGCAGCGAUGCGUUGAGCUAACCGGUACUAAUGAACCGUGAGGCUUAACCUU
This 2906-nucleotide ribosomal RNA is filed under the name Escherichia coli. Its description in RNAcentral is "23S ribosomal RNA". It matches the Rfam family "Bacterial large subunit ribosomal RNA". The record is from RNAcentral. Lineage: Bacteria; Pseudomonadati; Pseudomonadota; Gammaproteobacteria; Enterobacterales; Enterobacteriaceae.